AUUGAACGCUGGCGGCAUGCUUUACACAUGCAAGUCGAGCGGCAGCGCGGGGGCAACCCUGGCGGCGAGCGGCGAACGGGUGAGUAAUACAUCGGAACGUGUCCCGUAGUGGGGGAUAGCUCGGCGAAAGCCGGAUUAAUACCGCAUAUGCUCUACGGAGGAAAGCGGGGGACCCGCAAGGGCCUCGCGCUAUGGGAGCGGCCGAUGUCCGAUUAGCUAGUUGGUGGGGUAAAGGCCCACCAAGGCGACGAUCGGUAGCUGGUCUGAGAGGAUGAUCAGCCACACUGGGACUGAGACACGGCCCAGACUCCUACGGGAGGCAGCAGUGGGGAAUUUUGGACAAUGGGGGAAACCCUGAUCCAGCCAUGCCGCGUGCGGGAAGAAGGCCUUCGGGUUGUAAACCGCUUUUGUCCGGAAAGAAAAGGCGUCUCCUAAUACGGGACGCUCUUGAAGGUACCGGAAGAAUAAGCACCGGCUAACUAUGUGCCAGCCGCCGCCGUAA
This 502-nucleotide ribosomal RNA is filed under the name uncultured bacterium. Its description in RNAcentral is "partial 16S ribosomal RNA". It matches the Rfam family "Bacterial small subunit ribosomal RNA", at positions 29 to 523 of the family's 1533-position model. The record is from RNAcentral.